Molecule: long non-coding RNA, 1671 nt
Filed under: Drosophila guanche
Lineage: Eukaryota; Metazoa; Arthropoda; Insecta; Diptera; Drosophilidae
Source: RNAcentral
GUUGCAGCUGAACACAAAAUAAUUACAAGCAGCGAAUGAUAUUAUCGCAUGCGAUAAAGUUAGAUAAAUUAUGCUGACAGAAUCAAAGCUUAGCUCAGCAAAGCUUAGCUGUUAAAUCAGCUGAUUGGGUGAAGCUUUCGUUGAUGACAGCUGUCAACAUAAGCUUUUAGAACACGGUUUUAGCACUUCCGAUCGCAUUUAAACGGGACGAGCCCCCAGAAAAAUUCUUCUUUUCGUCUAUCUAAAAUUCUGAUCGGUUCGUGACCCGUCCGAUAGUGAGUUAAUUUUUCGACCCACCACGUGUGUGUGAAAAAGUAAAAAGUUAAAAACCGAACGCCGUGCAGUGAAUAUAAAUAUCAGUGAAUUUAAAUUUCACCUGGCCUAGAGCCAUCCCAACGUUUUUGGGCGAGCGUGCAAUCCACGCAAUCCCAAACUUUUUGGACUGGCGUUCAAUCCACGCCAUCCACGACAGAAGAGAAAUAUAAUUAUCCACGGAAAUCCCGGAAAGAUUGGUAGGUCCAAUGUGGGAGAGACCCGAACAAAUGUUCUUAUAAUAGCUCUUGGCUGUAUUCCUUCCCCCCCCACAGGGCUUCGCUACGCUUUCCCCCCCACACUCAGCCAGAGCAGCAGCGCAUUGACGUUUUGUUGGCAAUACGCUGAGGGGUGGGGAAUUUUUCUUGGGAGACCGGUGGAAGCCCGGCUCCAGAACCUAUGUAACACCAUAGCCUGUAACUUCACAAUGACCAUGACGUAACCUUGCAGUAACCUCUGCGCAGGCGCCACAGCCGACAGUGUCGUACCGCUAAGAGGGCCACCAUUAUAUCUUAGGCUGCAAUCAAAGCCUAAAGCACUGUCUUUUAUUUUAAUAAUUAAUUAAAUUUAAAUUUUGUUAAUGCUAAUACUCUUUUCUAUUAUUAUAUUCUAUUUGAUUUAACGACCUUUAAUUCCCCCUUAAUUAUGUGACAUUAGUGAAAGAAGAAAGAAAGGAAAAAUAAGUUUGUAAGAGAAAAAAAAUAUUGAACUAUAACGUGCAGUCGGCCAAAGCCAACAGGGAACCAUAAUUAAUAUAUUCCACAGCUUCUUCAAAACCCCAGCGAAAGGCCUUUCAGCGAGGGAGUACUGUAAGCAUACAUACAUGCAUACCAAACUGUGAGUGAUAAAAGAUCAAAUUUUUUUUGUUCCCUUUUGGUGCGUUCUUCCCGCUAGACGAACCGACCAGCGCAUAAAAGUUUAUGCACUAGCGCCAGAGCUUUGUUGCUUUUGCUGCUAUUGUAAUUUGUGCACGCCAUGCAUUCCAUGCAGUUGCUUACAUGGAGAAACUAAAACGAAAAGUACACUAGCCAACAAAAAAAAAAUAUUUUUUUGUUUUCCUUCUUUUCUUUUUUUUUAACAUAUGCUUUUCAUUAUUAUAUUUAGUCCCAUUCAUUUAUAUUCCAUAUUCAAUAAUCGUAUCUUAAUUUAAUGUUACAUUUCACCUAUUAUAUUCAUACAUACAUUUACUUUUUCUUUGAUAUAUUUUUAUAAUUUUCUUUCCUACUUUAUAUUAUUUUCCUUUUUUUUAUUUGGGUAAAUUGACAUAAGUUGUUUCGAAAUCUAGUGUAAAAUCGAUACUUUUGGAUGUGUUUUGCGAUGUUGAAUAAAUUUAGCUAUAAGCGUUAAUAUGAACUCCUG